GCCUGGCUUCUCGGCUAUGUCAGGAAUGUCAGGAAUGCCACUGAUCAUUGUGCGUUGGCAGAGCGCAGGGGUUCCAGCCGGGCUAACAGAAACUCGGUCCUGCCCACUGGGUGAAACUGUAGCUCUCCCACACAGCGAUCUGCCUGUCCGAGAGCGUGGGAAACCUCCAGCCCGAAGGAAUGCCUUUCAAAACGGGAAGGAUGCCCGGCCCCCCAAAGAAAAAGCACGCACAAUCCUGGCUGGGUUGUUCCCAUUAGGAGGCUUGGGGACAGAGAAUCUGCUCGCUCUGCAGGUGUUGGGAGCAGCAAAUGCCCUCCUUUUGAUGGCCAGCACGAGCUCAUUCUGCUGAAAGUCUCCAAAGUGACCCAUUGCAUCGUGGAAACAAAGAGCCAAGACCUCCUGAAUUUUACUGCCCGGAGGGUAUAUUUUUCUUUCCCGUUGCAUCAAAGGGGUGUGUGACGCUUUCCCAAAGUACUAACUCUGACUUGAUACCUAAAGUAGAAGAUGGAAAUUUGGGCCCUUAAGAUGGAGCUCUUUCCCCUCCACCUGCAUUGGAGGGAAGAGAGGCAGAGAGAUUCAAGGCAAAAUCCUGUUGGAGAAUUCCUUCUCAUUCCUGGAUUUAAUUUCUUAUUUUUAUAUUGUUGCAUAAGAAAUCCCCUGCAAAAAGCAUCUGCUUUCAAGUCCGGGAAAUCUUGUUUUAGGCUCAUGUAUUUAAAGACAAACAAAUAAAACCACCAAACCAAUGAGGCCAGGCUUUGGCUGACCACCCAUCCCCUCUCCAGCCCCCGCACCCCCAUUUUCCUCUGGAGCAGUGAUUAUGGAGCCACCGCACAAAUUUUAUUCGAUCAUCGAAUGAACAAAGCCAGGGCUCGUGAUGUUGAGAAAGCAUGAGAGAAGGAAAAAAAAAAAAGAUAUCACGGUGACAGCAUACUUCUUCAGAGUUCCAUCUAAAAGC
RNAcentral lists this long non-coding RNA (955 nucleotides) under Mustela putorius furo (domestic ferret). RNAcentral's name for it is "lncRNA (ENSMPUG00000031675.1)". The record is from RNAcentral. Lineage: Eukaryota; Metazoa; Chordata; Mammalia; Carnivora; Mustelidae.